RNAcentral lists this ribosomal RNA (522 nucleotides) under uncultured bacterium. RNAcentral's name for it is "bacterial SSU rRNA". It matches the Rfam family "Bacterial small subunit ribosomal RNA", at positions 791 to 1315 of the family's 1533-position model. The record is from RNAcentral.
UAGUCCACGCCGUAAACGAUGCUCACUCGUUGUUUGCGAUACACAGUAAGCGACUGGGGGAAACCAUUAAGUGAGCCACCUGGGGAGUACGUUGGCAACAAUGAAACUCAAAGGAAUUGACGGGGGCCCGCACAAGCGGAGGAACAUGUGGUUUAAUUCGAUGGUACGCGAGGAACCUUACCUAGGCUAUAAUGUGAGCGCUAUCUGGUGAAAGCCGGAGUUCCUUCGGGACGCGAAACAAGGUGCUGCAUGGUUGUCGUCAGCUCGUGCCGUGAGGUGUUGGGUUAAGUCCCGCAACGAGCGCAACCCCUAUUGUUAGUUGCCAGCGAGUAAUGUCGGGGACUCUAACGAGACUGCCCGCGUAAGCGGAGAGGAAGGUGGGGACGACGUCAAAUCAUCAUGGCCUUUAUGCCUAGGGCUACACACGUGCUACAAUGGUAGGUACAGAGGGUUGCGAAGGGGUGACCUGGAGCGUAAUCUCAGAAAGCCUAGUCCCAGUUCGGAUUGGAGUCUGCAACUCGA